This 458-nucleotide ribosomal RNA is filed under the name uncultured bacterium. RNAcentral describes it as "partial 16S ribosomal RNA". It matches the Rfam family "Bacterial small subunit ribosomal RNA", at positions 355 to 803 of the family's 1533-position model. The record is from RNAcentral.
UGGGGAAUAUUGCACAAUGGGGGCAAGCCUGAUGCAGCCAUGCCGCGUGUGUGAAGAAGGCCUUCGGGUUGUAAAGCACUUUCAGCGAGGAGGAAGGUGGUGAGCUUAAUACGCUCAUCAAUUGACGUUACUCGCAGAAGAAGCACCGGCUAACUCCGUGCCAGCAGCCGCGGUAAUACGGAGGGUGCAAGCGUUAAUCGGAAUUACUGGGCGUAAAGCGCACGCAGGCGGUUUGUUAAGUCAGAUGUGAAAUCCCCGGGCUCAACCUGGGAACUGCAUUUGAAACUGGCAAGCUAGAGUCUCGUAGAGGGGGGUAGAAUUCCAGGUGUAGCGGUGAAAUGCGUAGAGAUCUGGAGGAAUACCGGUGGCGAAGGCGGCCCCCUGGACGAAGACUGACGCUCAGGUGCGAAAAGCGUGGGGCAGCAAACAGGAUUAGAUACCCUGGUAGUCCACGCUGU